This 699-nucleotide long non-coding RNA is filed under the name Bos taurus (domestic cattle). Its description in RNAcentral is "long non-coding RNA NONBTAT024743". The record is from RNAcentral. Lineage: Eukaryota; Metazoa; Chordata; Mammalia; Artiodactyla; Bovidae.
UAGUACAAUGAAGAAGCAAUGCAUUCAGUGUAAGAAAACAUCUUCUCAGCCUGCCUUUAGCACAAAUUCAAACAUACUUUCAAUGUGUACAUCUGUGAAGAAUGAGCCCAUCAAAAUCCACUGAAGUUUGGAGGACGCUGGACACUGAUGUUAAAGAGGAUUACACUAAAGCAGACAUCCUGAGUCGUCAGUAAAAGCAAAGCAGGAAACUACAGAAAGCAUUUGUAAAAAUGUGAGAUUUGUCUACUUUGAUUUCAGGACUUAACUGUAUUCACAGCCUCCCCCUGCAAGGCAUAGCCGGGUUUACCCACAUCUUCGGUCCUGCCCUAGAUUCCACUUGCUGGGGAGCUCCUUAUUUCCUGUGAGUGUGAGGACUGCUGUGUUCCAAUUGUUUGGAAUGAUUAGACUGAAGAAAACUCUUAUUUUCCCACCUCUUGGGCACUUUCUCUUCUAAAGUGAAAACUUUGUGUUUGCUGUUAUGCAAAUUAAAAAAAGGUUGGAAGGCAGCCCAUUAUGGGCUACACAGAAGUUAUCUGAGGUAUUUUCUAAAAACAAAGCAGAAUAUUCUAGAAAAAACACAGAAUGACCCACUCAGCCCUAUACUAUCUGAGAAAAUAUACUUAGCUAUCAAUGUUCAAAUAAUAUAGAUGCCACUCCUCAAACUGCUUCUUUGAAACCCCCAUGAAACCCGACAUCCCA